Molecule: ribosomal RNA, 255 nt
Filed under: uncultured bacterium
Lineage: Bacteria
Description: partial 16S ribosomal RNA
Rfam family: Bacterial small subunit ribosomal RNA
Source: RNAcentral
UACGUAGGGGGCUAGCGUUGUCCGGAUUUAUUGGGCGUAAAGAGCGUGUAGGCGGCCAGGUAGGUCUGCUGUGAAAACUCGAGGCUCAACCUCGAGACGUCGGCGGAAACCAUCUGGCUAGAGUCCGGAAGAGGAGAGUGGAAUUCCUGGUGUAGCGGUGAAAUGCGCAGAUAUCAGGAAGAACACCCGUGGCGAAGGCGGCUCUCUGGGGACGGUACUGGACGCUGAGACGCGAAAGCGUGGGGAGCGAACAGG